UUUCGCUGGAAUUUACUGAUUAUCAAAGUCAUGUGAUUCGAUAUGGUGGAGUUGACCUGCAGUGCGUCGAAUAAAACGUCUCUCAGUCAUUUUGAAAUUCAAAUUACAGUAACACAUUGCGUAGGCUGAGGAUGACAAUCAUGACACCUUCAAAGCGACACAGGAUUUAGCAAGAACAUAUUGACUUCUAUUUCACUAUUCCACUUAACAAAAAGUAAUGCUCUAUAGCACUCUCAUGAAAAAAAAGUUCCACAACAACAGUAUCUAACUAUACGGAAACAUGUUUAACCACAAACGCCCCAGCCUAUUUUAAAAUAAUAUAGCUGAAUAAUGAUCCCCAGUCAGUAUAAGCUCUAUAUAGAUUUAAAUUCGUAAGUACGAACCAUUUGAUUUGAGGAGACAGUCUAAGAUAUAUUUUGAGAGAAAAAAAAUUAACUCUGAUUUUUGCCUUAAACAAAAAUUCUAGACGCAAAACUUUGAACAAUCUUGUCCACUUUUUUGCUAUUAGAAACGAAAAUUCCAACAGAAUUAUUUAGCAUUAAAUGAACAUGAUGAAUAAAAGCGGGCAUAUUUUUUGUGACAGGGGUUUUCAUGUCUGACCGGAAUGUCUGUUUCGCCGAACUGAUAUAUGGAAUACUUUUUUCAAGACCAGACUGCAACCUGCCUGCUGGGUGUGGCCUUUAUGUCUUCAUUUGUCGGUGGGCAUUCAUAAAUUCGUUGUCAUUUCACACUCAUUCUUAGUCUUUUAUUGAUUUGGAACCCUUUACUUCCCUUAAUGUUGUUGAGUGAAACAUAUCAACCAAACAUUUGGAUAAAAAAUUUCUUGUUUGUCUUUUUUAACUCGUGUCGGUUGUAUUUCAAAUUCAAUCGAAUAGCCCAGCGUAUAUCUUGUUAACAACAAGAACUCUAUGAGGUUAUUCUAACUUAACUUACAACAAACGUGCGAGAAUUUUCCAUGCCUAUGUUUUACUGACAAAUCACACAUUAAAUGUAUCAGUACAUAGCUCUUGGAUCCAAACUAUCAUUUAAUGAUAUAAAUUGAUAGGAAGAUGCAGCAUCUAAAAUGUCCAACCCUUACACCUUACCAGCAACUACGAACUUUGACUUGUUACUUCAAGGAACUAGCACUUUAACCAUGGAGUACAAUACACAUCAACACGUCAUUGUUGAGAAACAAAUGAAAGCCUUGCUGUUGUUUGGAAAUUACCGUUCUCAUUCAUUUGAAAGAAUGUUUUUUACUCUUUUUUAUGCGUAAAAAAUCACUUUUAAAGAAUAGACUUAUUUUUUGAAGAUUAGAGAAAAAAGGGGUGAAAAUUAAAUGUUUACAGAAUAACA
RNAcentral lists this long non-coding RNA (1335 nucleotides) under Mytilus galloprovincialis (Mediterranean mussel). The record is from RNAcentral. Lineage: Eukaryota; Metazoa; Mollusca; Bivalvia; Mytilida; Mytilidae.